RNAcentral lists this ribosomal RNA (303 nucleotides) under uncultured soil bacterium. Its description in RNAcentral is "bacterial SSU rRNA". It matches the Rfam family "Bacterial small subunit ribosomal RNA", at positions 26 to 341 of the family's 1533-position model. The record is from RNAcentral.
AGAUUGAACGCUGGCGGCAUGCCUAACACAUGCAAGUCGAACGGGAGUAGCAAUACUCUAGUGGCGGACGGGUGAGGAAUACGUAGGAAUUUGCCCUUAAGUGGGGGAUAACCCGGGGAAACCCGGAUUAAUACCGCAUGACCUCGAAAGAGCAAAGUGGGGGAUCGCAAGACCUCACGCUUUUGGAGAAGCCUACGUCGGAUUAGCUAGUUGGUGAGGUAAUGGCUCACCAAGGCGACGAUCCGUAACUGGUCUGAGAGGAUGAUCAGUCACACCGGAACUGAGACACGGUCCGGACUCCUA